This is a non-coding RNA of Aegilops tauschii subsp. strangulata, 2506 nucleotides long. Lineage: Eukaryota; Viridiplantae; Streptophyta; Magnoliopsida; Poales; Poaceae. The record is from RefSeq and is a predicted model, not a curated record.
UUAAACAUGGUUUUUGAUUGUAAUUGAACUUUGAGCAUAUUUCUUCAACUUAUGUGCUUUUUUUCCGAACUUAUUUAAAAACAUGAAUCUUCUCAUGUUUCUUUUUUAAGUUGUUUUUUUUUCCUUCAGCUAUACUGCUAGUAGCCUAGUAACCUAGUUGUUUCUCAUCUACAUCUACACUACUAUUAAAAGAGCAAACAUGAAUUCCUCUAAAACCACACUACGAAGUGUACACAGAAGUAUCAGAGACGUUUGAUCAAUCCCACUAAAUCACAUUCAACGUUCUAUAUUACAUCGAAGGUCUACCACACAAAUCAACGCUCUUGAUUAAAUGUUCUGCAGACUACCCCGCCCACGUCCUGCUUCUCCCACGAUCUAUACCUCACGCAAGCAAAUCGCCGCACAACACGCCGCUAGACGCAAAUGAGCCCCUAUUCAUCAGGUUGACCUUCCCUGCCUUGACUGCGCCCCCGCCUCCCUCCCCACCCCGCCGUGCUCCCUCUCCCUCCCCUCUAUGGUCGUAUGACGCCCGCUGCCGGUGCAACCUCCCUUCGCCCCCGCUCGACGUCGCCCUGCCCGUCUGCCUCUCCCAUGGCGCACGGCACCUGCCGCCGGACCCGCCCUUCCGCCAUCUCCUGUAUCGUCGGCGCAACCUCCCUUCGCACCGCUCGCCGUCGGGUUGUCCGGCCCGUCCGCCUCUCCUACGACGCCAGCCUCCAGCCCCGCCAUCUCCUGUGGUGCACGACGCCCGCCGCUGGCCCCGCCCUUCCGCAUCUCCUAUGGCUCGCGCGCCUGUCCGUCGGCCACGCCCGUCCGCCUCUCCUGUGGCACACGACUGUUGCUGUGUACGUCUGGAACAACGCCACAGGGUGGCCCUCCCUCAUCGGUUGAAAGCGCUCUUGGUUCUGCUGAAAAGCUUGUGAGAGCAUCACCUGAUGAGCUGUUCCACUACUAGGGUGAUCUUGUUCAAGCACUGGUACAUGUUCGUUGUUCUGAUGUCGUGAUAGAGGGUGAGGAAGAUUUUGCGGAAGAAAAGUGACAGAAGGCAUUAGUCGCCUUGCUGGUAACCAGCCCAUUUGAAUCAUUUUUGCUUUGCAUUUUCUUCAGGAUUUGGUACAUGUGUAUUUUCACAUAAUUUUUAACAAACCAAUUCAUAGAUUCGUUGUAUAUGAAUAACCGACCAAACAAAGACCGGUGAUAAUCAGCGUCAUCCCGGACCUAACGAACAUUUUAGUCUGAAUUUAUCUAACACUAUGGGAAUAGGGUAAAUGAUAACCAAAAGUUAGAAAUCUGACAUUAUGAUUGAUCAUACUAUCUGUAAUCCAUACUCUUCUGCUUUAUGGGAGUUAGUCUGUCGAUCAUCAUGACCAACUGAAAAUAAUUAAACCGGUAGAUCCCGACCUCAAAUGGCGCGAGUGCUCUAUGAAAGCAUGGGAUUUACCCCGCUAAUGUACUUGUAUUAGGACGUUCUCUACACGUUCGGAAUAGAUUAUCAAGAAAAUUUAUCUAAAGUCUGAUCAAAUUCAUUUAGAUUCAGUUUAAUUAUAGUGUCUGUUCAUUUUUUACAUUGAUUUUAUCAUAUUAUAAAAUUGUCAUACCAUAUAGUUCUUAAAACUGCAUAUGUUUUCCUGCUGCAAGUGCCACUGUUGUCACAAUGCUGCAAAGAGACGGUGCAUGGAUGCAUUUUUUAACUCUCAUGAGUGCUUGUAGAAGAAGAAUUGUACAAUGCGGAAAGAUGUUAUUUGCAUCUGCAAAGAGGGAUCAUAUUUGUAGAUUGAUUCCAUAAGAAUCAGGUCACUCCUUGACUAAUUCGAUCUUGAAUCAUUUGCAUUUUUUUAACAUGGUUGGAGAUGUCGUGUAGCAGGAGCAGGAGCUAAUGGACAGUCAGUGAGCCCCAAGGGCGGUGGCCCCUGCAACAUGAAGAAGACCAUCCAGACAAAGGGGAGGUACACGGAUAGCCAAGGAUGCAAGGAGACGUGCAGGUCUGCGUUUCAGAGUUAUCUCUUUCAGCACCAGCGAUUAAAUGGUCCGUAGCUGGUCAGGCGUGCUUGCAUAAAAUGUACUUUGUUAGUUGCUAGAGCCAUGCUAGCUUUGUAUGUUGUUCUUGCAGCCUCAACUAGCUAAUUCUAUUUAAAGCUAAUGUUGUUCUAUCCUUCCAAUUACUGUUGUUAUUCAGAUUUUUUUCUUUUUUUGUUGUCAUUCAGAGUACAAAUGUUAUGAGAAUUUCAGGAUUUUUGUCAUAUCUCCCAAUUACCUUAAUUUUGUAAGUUGUGUUCUAAUUCAAUUUUGAUUUCCUUUCACAAUAGCCUACUUUAAAGCUGUGUGAAUCCAUUAUUUUCCUUUUGAGUUUGCUGUAGAGCAGUGGAGGCGAGUUGGGAACCUUUUUUUUUAACUUGGUGGAUGUACUGUUGUAGCGAUGGAGAUUUGCCUGAAUGUUGCUUUCCUCCGCGUGAAGUGCCUAGAAUUCUCGAAGGCGUCAACAAGACCCGAAGGAGAUUGACAAAGU